Molecule: ribosomal RNA, 253 nt
Filed under: uncultured bacterium
Lineage: Bacteria
Also listed under: 3 other names
Description: partial 16S ribosomal RNA
Rfam family: Archaeal small subunit ribosomal RNA
Source: RNAcentral
UACCAGCACCCCGAGUGGUCGGGACGAUUAUUGGGCCUAAAGCAUCCGUAGCCGGUCUUGCAAGUCUUCCGUUAAAUCCACCUGCUUAACAGAUGGGCUGCGGAAGAUACUACAAGACUAGGAGGCGGGAGAGGCAAGCGGUACUCAGUGGGUAGGGGUAAAAUCCUCUGAUCCAUUGAAGACCACCAGUGGCGAAGGCGGCUUGCCAGAACGCGCUCGACGGUGAGGGAUGAAAGCUGGGGGAGCAAACCGG